AUUGAACGCUGGCGGCAGGCCUAACACAUGCAAGUCGAACGGUAACAGGAAGAAGCUUGCUUCUUUGCUGACGAGUGGCGGACGGGUGAGUAAUGUCUGGGAAACUGCCUGAUGGAGGGGGAUAACUACUGGAAACGGUAGCUAAUAUCGCAUAACGUCGCAAGACCAAAGAGGGGGACCUUCGGGCCUCUUGCCAUCUGAUGUGCCCAGAUGGGAUUAGCUAGUAGGUGGGGUAACGGCUCACCUAGGCGACGAUCCCUAGCUGGUCUGAGAGGAUGACCAGCCACACUGGAACUGAGACACGGUCCAGACUCCUACGGGAGGCAGCAGUGGGGAAUAUUGCACAAUGGGCGCAAGCCUGAUGCAGCCAUGCCGCGUGUAUGAAGAAGGCCUUCGGGUUGUAAAGUACUUUCAGCGGGGAGGAAGGGAGUAAAGUUAAUACCUUGGCGCAUUGACGUUACCCGCAGAAGAAGCACCGGCUAACUCCGUG
RNAcentral lists this ribosomal RNA (490 nucleotides) under uncultured bacterium. RNAcentral's name for it is "partial 16S ribosomal RNA". It matches the Rfam family "Bacterial small subunit ribosomal RNA", at positions 30 to 507 of the family's 1533-position model. The record is from RNAcentral.